CGCCUAGUGGCGCAACACGGUGGCUUUGGGGGUGCAGGCAUAUACCGCGAACCAUGUUGGUACCACCGGACAUGAUCACCGUGCAGUCGAAGACGAUCUACCAGAUUAACAAGUACUACGCGGAGAAGGUGCAGGUGCGCAUGGGCAACAUCGCCAUCGUGCUGCGCGAGAUCUGCAAGAUCGUGCAGGAGGUGCUGCGCGAGGUGGAGGUACAGGAGCCGAGGUUUAUCUCCAGCCUGGUGGAGUGCAAUGGCCGGUUCGAAGGCCUGGAGGUGAUAUCGCCGACGGCUUUCGAGGUCGUGCUGUACCUCAACCAGAUGGGUGUGUUCAACUUCGUCGACGACGGAUCACUCCCCGGUGCGGCGGUGCUGAAGCUGAGCGACGGCCGCAAGCGCUCCAUGUCGCUGUGGGUCGAGUUCAUAACCGCGUCCGGUUAUCUGUCCGCCCGGAAGAUCCGGUCCCGGUUCCACACGCUCGUCGCCCAGGCGGUGGAGAAGUGCCCGUACCGGGACAUGGUGAAGCUCGUGCCGGACACGACCGAGGUGAAGUUGCGCAUCCGGGAACGGUACACCGUCCAGAUAACGCCCGCGUUCAAGUGCACCGGCAUCUGGCCACGGUCCGCCGCCCACUGGCCGAUCCUCAACAUACCCUGGCCCCAUCCCGCGCUCGUCGCGGAGGUUAAAACCGAAGGGUUCGAUCUGCUGUCGAAGGAGAGUGUCAUCCUGCAGGGGAAGAACGCUAACGUCGAAGGUGACGCUUGGUUGCUGCACUUCACCGAGGCGGAGAAUCGGUUGCUGCAGGGCGGCUACCGGAAGCGUUGCCUCAGCAUCCUCAAGACGCUGUGCGACCGGCAUCUGGAUCUACCCGGCGCACCGAUCGGGUACUACCACCUGAAGACGCUACUGCUGUACGAGUGUGAGAAGCAUCCGCGCGAAACGGAGUGGGAUGCGGGCUGUGUGGCGGAUCGUUUGAACGGCAUCUUUCUGCAGCUGAUCUCCUGCCUGCAGUGUCGCCGGUGUCCGCACUACUUCCUCCCAAGCCUGGACCUGUUCAAGGGCAAAUCGCCGACGGCACUGGACAACGCGUCCAAGCACGUGUGGCGCCUCUGCCGGGACAUACUAACCAGCAGCAAAGCGUUCGAUCGGCUGUAGUAGUGCACAGGAUCGGCCCCCUGUCGACCAUAUCAGCAGCGGAACGAGCCGUUGCGAGUGUCGCUUGGACACACACAUUUCAAGCCGCCAACCCGGGGACGUUAAACGGACCCGUUGUACGCGGUAGUAUACGAGACGGUUGGGAAGACGAGUGUGUAGUGGUUGGCGAAAACGCUUAACGUUAUAAACGUUGCCAGCAAGAGGAGAACGAGCCGAAAACAAACGUUGUAUACGAUGUGUCUGCCUUAGUUUUGUGGUUUGUUUGCUAAAGUGACUUCCUAAAUCAAUCGCUAGUGUACGGAGUAAACGAGUGAGCAGUAUACUAGGACGCGUACGCACGUGACGUGCGUGAGUUAGUUGCUUCUCUUUAGAGGAUUCUGUUUCUGUUUCCAAUCCGAAAUAAAGGUCAUAUUACACUAGUGACAUUGUGCGUGAUAUCUUGGGUUAGGUGUUUAAGGUGUCCUUGUUGCCAUUACUUGGGUUGCUUCCAGGGUGUUGUGGUGCGAAAAAAAACACACCGUUUUUAAUCGGUUUAAUUAAAGGUGCAAGUCAAAAAACAGUACCCAUCGGUAUCGGUUUGUUUCGUGAAUUUUGUGUGUAAAUAUUAAGAGAAAACGAAACAAUCACUUUGCCAACGGGAAAUGUGUUAAGUUGGGGCUCUGUAAUCGCUUAUGUAUGGAAGUAAAUCGUAUUUUGUGAAACAAGGGAAAUUUUUGAUGACAUUCUUAAACAAAACAUUUACUUAAAUGACAUUUAGGCAAAAAAGGACGAUUAAGGUGCGUCUAAACGAUAGAAUUAAAAAAAAAUAAACUCGAAUUGAUUUUGUAAUUUAUAAUAUUAUUUAUUUCGGGAAACUACUGCUCAGUAUUGGCGUCUGAUAAAUUAUUAUAUUAGAUUCGUUACAAGUGAUUAAUCAUCCACAUGGAAACACAGUACUAUU
Molecule: RNA transcript, 2091 nt
Organism: Anopheles moucheti
Lineage: Eukaryota; Metazoa; Arthropoda; Insecta; Diptera; Culicidae
Gene name: protein mab-21-like
Exons: 3
Source: RefSeq, a predicted model, not a curated record